GAGUCUAGCAUGUGCGCGAGUCAUUGGGACUCGAAUGAAACCUAAAGGCGUAAUGAAAGUGAAGGUUCGCCUUGCGCGAACCAAGGGAGGAUGGUCGAUCGUUAGGGGUCGUCCCGCACUCCCUGGGCGUCUCGUUCUCACUGCGAGAAGAGGCGCACCAAGAGCGUACACGCUGGGACCCGAAAGAUGGUGAACUAUGCCUGGUCAGGACGAAGUCAGGGGAAACCCUGAUGGAGGUCCGUAGCGAUUCUGACGUGCAAAUCGAUCGUCGGAACUGGGUAUAGGGGCGAAAGACUAAUCGAACCAUCUAGUAGCUGGUUCCCUCCGAAGUUUCCCUCAGGAUAGCUGGCGCUCGCUUCUCGCGAGUCUCAUUCGGUAAAGCGAAUGAUUAGAGGCAUUGGGGUCGAAACGGCCUCAACCUAUUCUCAAACUUUAAAUGGGUGAGAUCUCCGGCUUGCUUGAACUGUGAAGCCGCGAGAUAUCGGAUCAGAGUGCCAAGUGGGCCACUUUUGGUAAGCAGAACUGGCGCUGUGGGAUGAACCAAACGCCGAGUUAAAGCGCCUAAAUCGACGCUUAUGGGAUACCAUGAAAGGCGUUGGUAACUUAAGACAGCAGGACGGUGGCCAUGGAAGUCGGA
Molecule: ribosomal RNA, 637 nt
Filed under: Eophileurus sp. NLG-2014
Lineage: Eukaryota; Metazoa; Arthropoda; Insecta; Coleoptera; Scarabaeidae
Description: eukaryotic LSU rRNA
Rfam family: Eukaryotic large subunit ribosomal RNA
Source: RNAcentral